This 73-nucleotide transfer RNA is filed under the name Anaerolineae bacterium. RNAcentral describes it as "tRNA-Arg". It matches the Rfam family "tRNA". Rfam says of the family: Transfer RNA (tRNA) molecules are approximately 80 nucleotides in length. Their secondary structure includes four short double-helical elements and three loops (D, anti-codon, and T loops). Further hydrogen bonds mediate the characteristic L-shaped molecular structure. tRNAs have two regions of fundamental functional importance: the anti-codon, which is responsible for specific mRNA codon recognition, and the 3' end, to which the tRNAs corresponding amino acid is attached (by aminoacyl-tRNA synthetases). tRNAs cope with the degeneracy of the genetic code in two manners: having more than one tRNA (with a specific anti-codon) for a particular amino acid; and 'wobble' base-pairing, i.e. permitting non-standard base-pairing at the 3rd anti-codon position. Lineage: Bacteria; Bacillati; Chloroflexota; Anaerolineae. The record is from RNAcentral.
GCCCCCGUAGCUCAGUUGGAUAGAGCAUCGGCCUCCGGAGCCGGCGGCCCGCGUUCAAGUCGCGGCGGGGGUA